AUACGGAGGGUGCAAGCGUUAAUCGGAAUUACUGGGCGUAAAGCGUACGUAGGCGGUUAUUUAAGUCAGAUGUGAAAGCCCCGGGCUUAACUUGGGAACUGCAUUUGAAACUGGGUAACUAGAGUUUAGUAGAGGGGAGUGGAAUUUCAGGUGUAGCGGUGAAAUGCGUAGAGAUCUGAAGGAACACCAGUGGCGAAGGCGACUCCCUGGACUAAAACUGACGCUGAGGUACGAAAGCGUGGGUAGCAAACAGUAUUAGAAACCCCAGUAGUCC
RNAcentral lists this ribosomal RNA (274 nucleotides) under uncultured bacterium. RNAcentral describes it as "partial 16S ribosomal RNA". It matches the Rfam family "Bacterial small subunit ribosomal RNA", at positions 523 to 796 of the family's 1533-position model. The record is from RNAcentral.